CUCUCAAGCUCUCUGUCUUUCUUUUUUUCACUCUUCACUCUUUAGUCAUUUGAGGUUCAAGGCCCGUGGGCUGGUCAGGCCCGGCCCACGAUCCUUAAAGGGCUGGGCUGGGCCAGCUAUAUUGUGUCCCAUUUUUUGGCUGGACCUAGUCCAGCCCAACCCAUCAAAUUUUAGAUCCUUGUGGGCCGUGUCGUGCUGGGCCGAACCAGCCUAUUUUGACAGUACUAGAUUUGACCACUAUAGUGCAGGGAAUGCAACAGGAGGCUCUAACUCAACAACCUCCCGGCACACCACUGCAGAGCUUGAUGCAGCCUCC
This 316-nucleotide long non-coding RNA is filed under the name Elaeis guineensis (African oil palm). RNAcentral describes it as "long non-coding RNA (EGUI_LNC008048)". The record is from RNAcentral. Lineage: Eukaryota; Viridiplantae; Streptophyta; Magnoliopsida; Arecales; Arecaceae.